Molecule: ribosomal RNA, 468 nt
Filed under: uncultured bacterium
Lineage: Bacteria
Description: partial 16S ribosomal RNA
Rfam family: Bacterial small subunit ribosomal RNA
Source: RNAcentral
GACGAACGCUGGCGGCGUGCUUAACACAUGCAAGUUGAACGGAAAGGCCCGGUUUUUGUGGCGAGCUCGUGUGGCGAACAGGUGAGUAUAACGCGAGUAACAUGCGCUUUACAUUGGGAUAACACCAGUGAACUGGGACGAAUACCGGAUAUGAGCACCUUCUGCAUAGGUUUUGAGUGUGAGAGUCGGCGUUUGGGGAUGGACUCGCGGUUUAGCAUCGUGUUGGUGGGUUAGUGGAUUACCAAGGCAUUGACGGGAAGCCGGCCUGAGAAGGUGACCGGCCACAUUGGGACUGAGAUGCGGCCAAGACUCAUACGGGAGGAAGCAGUGGGGAAUAUUGCACGAUGGGCGGAAGGAUGAUGCAGCAACGCCGCGUGCGGGAUGACAGUCUUCGGGUUGGAAACCGCUUUAGCCUGUGACGAAGAGUGAGUGACGGUAAUGGGUCAAGAAGCACCGGCUAACUACGUG